Prunus avium (sweet cherry) is the source of this 501-nucleotide non-coding RNA. The record is from RefSeq and is a predicted model, not a curated record. Lineage: Eukaryota; Viridiplantae; Streptophyta; Magnoliopsida; Rosales; Rosaceae.
ACAGCCAGUGGCUUUUCAAGCCACCACCGCCGCCACAGCUCACGGCUGGCCAUAGGUCCGGCCAAGAUCGAACCUUCACUGCCUCCUCUCCCCACCUCGGCCAGUCCCAGCCAUCAUCAACCGCACCAGCCGCCGGAAUUCGCCAAAAUUGCACCGAUUUUGUAGAAACUUACAGCCGUUCGUUCUCCUUCCUUCGGCCACCAUUUCCGCCAAACAAGGGAUGCAUGAACCGUGUGGAGCGAGGAUGUGCGAUCUCGAGCUGACUACAUGUCCCCCUAGUUCUGCGAGGAAUGCGGCUCGAGUUGACCUUGUGUCAGCGAGGCUUGCGAGGAAUGCGGCUCGAGUUGACUUUGUGUUACCGAGGCCUGUGAGGAAUGAGACACAGGGAAUUGACGGAUUAAUGUAAGAAACAAAUAGAAAUAUAGCCUAUUUCAAUUGUAGACGUUGACAUUCAGAUUUCAAGCAAUUAAUGCUAUUUUAAUAAAUUUUCCAUUUUCCUAA